UAUCGACCCGAGCCGUGCCGGAGCUAACGCGUUAAGUAUCCCGCCUGGGGAGUACGCACGCAAGUGUGAAACUCAAAGGAAUUGACGGGGGCCCGCACAAGCGGUGGAGUAUGUGGUUUAAUUCGAUGCAACGCGAAGAACCUUACCAAGACUUGACAUCCUGCGAAUCCCGGUGAAAGCUGGGAGUGCCUUAGGGAGCGCAGAGACAGGUGGUGCAUGGCUGUCGUCAGCUCGUGUCGUGAGAUGUUGGGUUAAGUCCCGCAACGAGCGCAACCCUCGUUUUUAGUUGCCAGCAUUAAGUUGGGCACUCUAGAGAGACUGCCGGUGACAAACCGGA
RNAcentral lists this ribosomal RNA (337 nucleotides) under Cylindrospermopsis raciborskii C03. RNAcentral's name for it is "bacterial SSU rRNA". It matches the Rfam family "Bacterial small subunit ribosomal RNA", at positions 830 to 1167 of the family's 1533-position model. The record is from RNAcentral. Lineage: Bacteria; Bacillati; Cyanobacteriota; Cyanophyceae; Nostocales; Aphanizomenonaceae.